AAAAGCAUGACAAUUUUGGUCAUUUUUUGAAAAAAAAGGUUAAAAGGAUUUUAGUGUUAACUGAUGCCAGUACGAUUUUUGCAGCAGUGAGCACUCUUUUUUAAAAUGGACAUUACCAGUACGCUUAGGCAUAAAGAUUAGGAGAAGUAUGGGAGUUUCCACUCACAAGAGUGAAAACUCCUUCCUUGUGGGCUGUCCCCAGGUGCGUGUAACAGCAGCUGUGUGCUGCUACCGAGAACUAUCAGUGUCACAACACGCUCUGGUUUGACUUUUUUUUGUUCCCCAAAAUAAGCAUUAAAGAACAAACAAACAGCAGUAUAAGGCCUAAGGGCAGCUCAUCCUGUAAAAUUCAUCCUGUCAUUCGCCUAGAGGUGGAGCCAGUCAUCUGCAGGGCUCAUACACGGAGGAGUGACGUUUUCUGAGUAAUAAAGCAGGAAAAACGAAAGCAUCUCAGUCAGGUAUUUGCCUGAAUAAUGGCUGGAUGAUACCUGUGCAAUAGCCACAGGAGAACUUUUGGGAAGGAGACUGGGAUGGAGGGGGGAAGGAAGAAUCCUUGCACAAACAAAACCAAUGUAUAAAGAGGAAGAGAAGGAGACCAGCUCCGCUGCAGACUAAUGCCUUCCAUACCAAGCUCUCCUAAUGAUUAGUCCUGCAAAUUGCUUUUAAGCUUUAGGCAGCACUUCUCUUGCUGUUUCAAAAAUAGGUCUUUUUAGGACGUUUUGAUCAGGUAAUAGGAAAGCUGACUGCAUCACAUCUUUCACUCGCUUUCACAUCUAAGACUUUCUGAAAAACAAUCUGGGCACCUCAUACCCAGCUGGCAGAGCCAUCAGGAUGCAGCAGCAGCAGGACUGGCACCUAUCUUUGUUUCAUGUUAGGUCGUGACUCUUAAAUUCUCUGUUCCUGGUAUUUUCUCUGGAAGCAGAAAAACAGUAUCCAUGGUUCCCCCUGCUGGAUUGUAACGCAUGCAUUCACCGGGUCUGUUUUAAACUGGAUCAUUUUCCGUAACUAAGAAGACAGGAAAUGCAGAGAACUGGUAUGAUUAAACCAGAGCAAGAGCAAGUCACGUCCAAAAAAAUUCCUUAAAAAGGCAAAAAUUAACCACCCUGGAAAAACAACAAGAGAGGAAUAUGAAAGAAGGCUGCUCUGUCACCAGUUUUGCAUUGCUAUUCCCAUUCUCUGUACUGGAACAUCAUUUGUUCAGCAGGUGACAGAGACCCUCCUGAGACUUCCGUGCUCUAUUUGAUGGACAACACGGCCAGGUCUGGACUCUUCCUGCUUUCCAAACCCGGUGCAACUUGUACCAGCAGUACUUGGAAGCCCAGAAGAAAGAACCAGAGCUCAUAAAAUCAGCAUCAAUGUCAGACUGCCCAACACAAGACAGGGCAAAGGUGCUAUCAGGUCAGCCAGUAACUCAGCUUCUUCCUCGUGGAACAGAGUCCUUAGGUCAGGAGCAAGGGAGACCUGGACUCCCAACAGACUUCCCUCUAUUUCGUAGAAUCAUAGAACAUUACAUUUGGAAAAGAACUCUAAGAUCCUGUCUAGUCCAAUUGUGUGUGUGCCUGUGUUCCCCUCACCAACACUACCACUACCAUCCUGAGCCAGGAAUAAUUUCUUCCAUUAGAUGAGAGCAAGGACUUUUUGGAGACAAGCUUCAUGUUCUGAGCUGUUAACACCUUGCCUAAGGCAACACCAUGUCUCACAACUCACCCCACUUUGAUCUUCUCUUCAGUUCUUACAGCUUUCCUCUGAAGCACAGGCUGCAUGCCAGGGGUGUAGCCCUGGGGUUUGGUCCCAUAGGAAACACAGUCCCAGGACCUGCCUGCCCAGUGGUACUGCCAGACCACACUGUAAUUGUGCUUUGCCAUGAGUAUCUGGAAACUUUUCUUAAAAGCAAAGCAAUCAAAAAUCACCACUCGGCAAAAAAAAAAAAAAAAUCUGGAAGAGGGCAGAGCAUGAAAUGCAUGCUUUUAAAACAACAUUGAAACUAAGUGCAUGUGUCUGCCCUAGAUCUUGAACAACCACUCUCAGUCCAGGUUUCUACAAAGCAGACUAGUUUGUAACCCAUCGCUCCCUCCUCAACUUUUUUUUCCCAGCAGCUCCUUUGCACUGGCCCAACACCUUUGUUUUCAUGACUGUCUCUAGACUCAGGUUAAAGCAGCCUGUGGAAGGGACAGAGUUUAAGAAACAGACGGGGCCACUUUAUCCUCAAAUUGUUUUAAGGGUAGUAACCAUCCGGAUCCUUCCCAUGUGUGCUUCUUGGUAAACCUGUCAGCAUGCUAACUCAAUGUACACAUACAGACAAGUACAUCUGAGAUGGGAAUUUUGAGAUAUGUCCUUCAAAAUGCUGUUCUCAGAGUAUUUUCAGGGCAGAGAGGGCUGUUGUUUUAGCCUUGCAGCUUCACUAAGCUGAGGGCAUGAGGCUGUACAGCUGUAAGUCCACUGGAAGUGGCCUAGAACUUUCCAUUACAUCAUCUAUGACUUAGAAUCUUAGCGUGCCUAAACCUGACACUUAAAAUGCUAUAUCCACUCCCUAAAGAAAAGGCUGUGUUUCUUGUAGCCAUUUAUAACAUCACAGAAGAUCUUAGAGAGCCUUAACCAAAAGGCAGACUUAAACUUUGCUACAGCAAUUAAAAACCCUGUCCAUUUAUAUAUAUUUAUAUAUAUGUA
Numida meleagris (helmeted guineafowl) is the source of this 2667-nucleotide long non-coding RNA. RefSeq lists it as uncharacterized. The transcript is spliced from 4 exons. NCBI's taxonomy places the organism in Eukaryota, Metazoa, Chordata, Aves, Galliformes, Numididae. The record is from RefSeq and is a predicted model, not a curated record.